CGGGAAGCGGGGCCGGCGGAGCGGCCGGGGCACGGCCCCGCUGAAAGGGGGCUCGGGGGCGGCCUCCUUGCCCCACCGCGCCUGGCAGGCGGCUGCAGCCCGGCGGGACUCGGCCGCCUCUUCUCCUGCCGCUGUCCGCCUGCGAGAGGGCAUGGCCUCGAGCCGCGCCACAGGAGGUUCAGGCUGGCCAGCAAGCGGAGUUUCUACACAGACAGGGUGGUUCCACACUGGAAUGCGCUGCCCGGGGAGGCGGUGCAGUCACCGUCCCUGGAGGUGGCCCUCGGUGCCGCGGGCUGACUGACCCGGUGCGCGGUCAUAGCCUGGGCUCGGUGGUCCCAGAGGGCUUUCCCAACCUGACUGAUUCUGUGAUUCUGUUAAGUAUUUCUGAUUUGUGGAGUGUACGUGAGUUACAGCAUCUCCACCCAUGGCUUUCCACCCCGGGUUCAUGGCCGCAUUGGGGUCCGGGGAGGUGCCGGGCGCUGGGAAGCACGCAGGUGCCAGAGGCCAAGCCUCAGCUAGGCUGUGAUUUCUCUCUUUGUCAGCUAUUUUCCCUAUUUUUUCCUGCAGACACUUCCCGGCAGUGCUGGGGCUUCCCUGUGCACUGUGGUUACACCAGUCAUGGUAGAAGCCACAGUGACCCUGCCUGCCAUAAAUACCCCCCAUCUCCCUGCAGCUCAGCUCUGCUAUGGUGUCACAUGCAACACCUGCAAGUCAAACACAACCUAGGUAAUCUCUGGAUAGGACUGGGCCAACUUUUGUACAGCUGUCCUUUGAAAGGAUAAUUGCAGGCAUGACUUUCAGGGUAAUAAGCAGAGAUAACUUUUUAUCUGCCAGCAAUAACGUGAAUUCCAGUAACCUGUCUCACUGCAGUGGAACCAGGGGAAAACACUCCCUCCUUCACUGCAUUUUAUGGAAGGAAGGGAACAGGCAAGACUGAGCACUGGUGGAGUCAGUCAGUGUCACUGAGGAGGUAGGUUCUCAGUCAGGUCACUGAGAACCAAUCUGUCCAAAACCAGCAAAGUCUGGUGAAGCUCUUGAGCUGGAUUAAACUCAGGAGGGGUGUAUCUCACAGCACACAGGCAAGCUGCUUGUGCAACAGCAGCCAUGGAUGCUUGUGGAGCAGUGUCCUGGCAGCCCGUCCACCUGCACCAACAUCUCAGGUUAAGAGGACACAGGAAUGCCAAAGAGAGGUCUAAAUGCCCCAAAUGGCAAAGAACCUUUUGCUCCCCCAGUGCCUGAUGUCACCAUCUCAGCCAGGGGUUCAGCAUCUUCCAGGAACCCGACGCUGCGUCACAAAGGAACAGCGGGACAGAGGCACCGAACCCAAAGCACUGCCUGGAUUUAUGUCUCAGAAAUAAACUGCCUCGUAAAUAUGCCUCGUAAAUAAAA
RNAcentral lists this long non-coding RNA (1389 nucleotides) under Junco hyemalis (dark-eyed junco). RNAcentral's name for it is "lncRNA (ENSJHYG00000002271.1)". Lineage: Eukaryota; Metazoa; Chordata; Aves; Passeriformes; Passerellidae. The record is from RNAcentral.